CCAGACGCUGGCUCUUGACAAAGAACCUGCUUGUUCUCCAGGUCUGGGGAUGUCUGCUGGGAAGGCAAGUAUGCAGAUGACAACCUGCUGUUCACAUCUUGUGUUGAUGCUUUGUGAAAUAGCAGUCCAUCUUUGAGGAAGAUAAUUUAGUUCAAGUUUGUACACUGCCUGUUAUGAUUUCACUGAAGUCCAAUCCCUCUGGAUUACCUAGUUAGCUGCAAAGCUCAUGCUGAAGGCAGUGACAGUUUUUCCUGUGAACUAGUUUCAAGAUUAGAUAGACAACAUACGUGGAUUAAGAGGAUCAGUCUGUGACUUGGCCUGUGAAGAGAAUCUGGGUCUGCCCUGCAGUAGUGCUGUGAAAAUUGUUGAAUUGCUCUCAGCCUUUAAAAGCAUUUCCCAUAAUGUGUAGAACAUUUACGGGGGAUCUUCUGACCUCUUCGUGGUGCCCACUUGCUUCAGUGAGUCUACAGCAAGCAGGACUGCCGAAGUUAUCCUGAACCCUGUAAGAUGAGAAAAUCUGUAGUUUUCCUGAAAAAAUGUAACAUCGGUUUCAAAGAAAAAGACAUGCCACUUCAGCUUGCCACCAUCUACCUCGUACUUGGAAGACUUUAAAUCUCGUAUCCUGAAGAGUAACUCAGCACACUGUAAUGCCUCUUUGCUG
This 661-nucleotide long non-coding RNA is filed under the name Gallus gallus (chicken). RNAcentral's name for it is "long non-coding RNA NONGGAT011834". Lineage: Eukaryota; Metazoa; Chordata; Aves; Galliformes; Phasianidae. The record is from RNAcentral.